ACGGGGCGCAGCAGGCGCGAAAACUUGGCAAUGCGAGAAAUCGUGACCAGGGAACUCCAAGUGGCAGGGGUAAGACCCUGUCUUUUUUCGACUCUAAAUAGGUCGACGAAUAAGGGGUGGGUAAGGACGGUGCCAGCAGCCGCGGUAAU
Molecule: ribosomal RNA, 149 nt
Filed under: uncultured archaeon
Lineage: Archaea
Description: partial 16S ribosomal RNA
Rfam family: Archaeal small subunit ribosomal RNA
Source: RNAcentral